GAUGAGAACGUAGCGAAAUGCGAUAAGUAAUGUGAAUUGCAGAAUUCAGUGAAUCAUCGAAUCUUUGAACGCACAUUGCGCCCCCUGGUAUUCCGGGGGGCAUGCCUGUCCGAGCGUCAUUACAACCCUCAAGCUCAGCUUGGUGUUGGGCCCCGCCGCCCCGGCGGGCCCUAAAGUCAGUGGCGGUGCCGUCCGGCUCCGAGCGUAGUAAUUCUUCUCGCUCUGGAGGUCCGGUCGUGUGCUCGCCAGCAACCCCAAUUUUUUUCAGGUUGACCUCGGAUCAGGUAGGGAUACCCGCUGAACUUAAGCAUAUCAAUAAGCGGAGGA
Molecule: unclassified non-coding RNA, 327 nt
Filed under: soil metagenome
Description: partial contains 5.8S ribosomal RNA, internal transcribed spacer 2, and large subunit ribosomal RNA
Rfam family: 5.8S ribosomal RNA (bases 5-119)
Source: RNAcentral